GGAUGGAUGUGUGAGCGAUUGAAAGAGUUAGUCUUGAAAACCAAAGUAUUGAUAGGAAUACCGGGGGUUCGAAUCACUCUCCAUCCG
Molecule: transfer RNA, 87 nt
Filed under: Hordeum vulgare subsp. vulgare (domesticated barley)
Lineage: Eukaryota; Viridiplantae; Streptophyta; Magnoliopsida; Poales; Poaceae
Rfam family: tRNA
About the family: Transfer RNA (tRNA) molecules are approximately 80 nucleotides in length. Their secondary structure includes four short double-helical elements and three loops (D, anti-codon, and T loops).
Source: Rfam by way of RNAcentral